Molecule: long non-coding RNA, 1226 nt
Filed under: Nicotiana benthamiana
Lineage: Eukaryota; Viridiplantae; Streptophyta; Magnoliopsida; Solanales; Solanaceae
Description: long non-coding RNA (NBEN_LNC040575)
Source: RNAcentral
UUUUAGUGGAGGCAAUGGUCACAUGCCAUUCCUGCAAACAACAAAUGCUCUAAUCAAUUUGCAUCUAAAAAGGGGUUUUGAAAUCAAUACAACACAACCAAUGGUCCAACUCAUCUUUAGGUUUACGCUUUGAAUAACGUGAGUCUUGACGUAACUGGUAAAGUUAAUGUUAUGAUGUGACCAAGAGGUAUACUGGGUUCGAGCUGUGAAAACAGCCUCUUGCAGAAACAUAUGGUAAGACUGCGUAAAAUAGACCUUUGUAGUUCAUUCCUUUACCGGACCCAGCACAUAACAAAAACUUUAAUUCACAAACACAGGGUAAGACUGCGUACAAUAGACCUUUGUAGUUCAUCUCUUCACCGGACCCACACAUAACAAAAACUUUAAUUCACCGAACUGCCCUUUUUGAUCUUUAGGCUUUCUUGGCUUUGAGUGGAGCAAUCAUCAAAUGCACUUGUCUGUAGACAACAAAAGGAAAGCCUCUACUCUUUCCAAACUCAUCCUAAUUUCAUUAUCAAGAGAAAAAAAAUUUUGCUUAUCGAAUAACUUUCCUAGUAUAGACGAGAACGCUUGACAAGUCAAGAAAGUCUCGUAGGAAGCGGGAAGGAACUCAGACUGUGACGACUAGUUUCACUAGCUUCCACAAUAAGUAUCCUAAUGAAGCAAACAAUAUGCUUCAAUGGUGGUCCAGAAAUUCUUAAUUUCAAUGAACAAUAAAAUUGCGUACAAUAGAUUCUUGUGGCCCAGCUCUUUUCCGAACCCCGCGUAUAGCGGGAGCUUCGUGCACCGGAGCUUCGUGCACCGGGCUGCCCAACAAUAAGAUUGAAGGAACCACCACAAAAUAGAUUCAUGAAAAAGAGAUGUGGAACCACAGUAGCAGUAUAGGAGAGAUGUAUGGAUUUAGGAAUGUUAACAGAACCUUUGCUAAAAGAAUUGCUGAUUGUUGCAACUAAUUAGAGAAAGUCCCAUUAAGCAAUCAUCUUAUGGCAACAUAUGCAGAAGAAAGUGAACUACAAAGGAGGAAGCAAAUUAGCAAGAGUGAGAACAUAAUAUUUAACAUUAACGUAAAUCAAGAUACAAACAAUGAUGUUUCACUUGUCCGGAUUUUGGAAGACAAAUGCUUUAUUUACAACAGCAGCAGCCAAAAGCAUAAUACUUCUCCCAUAUUUACAUUAGCUAUAUUUACACUAAAUAAUCAGCUUGAUAGGUCAAAUCCCCCUCCCNNN